Molecule: non-coding RNA, 74 nt
Organism: Ciona intestinalis (vase tunicate)
Lineage: Eukaryota; Metazoa; Chordata; Ascidiacea; Phlebobranchia; Cionidae
Source: RefSeq
CAUGCUGAUUGUGACGUAAUAAGUGUUUAAACAAAGCUUUUGUUUCCAACAUUUUGUGCGGCAAUUAUGACAUC